UCAGAUUGAACGCUGGCGGCAGGCUUAACACAUGCAAGUCGAGCGGUAGCACAGGGGAGCUUGCUCCCNGGGUGACGAGCGGCGGACGGGUGAGUAAUGUCUGGGAAACUGCCUGAUGGAGGGGGAUAACUACUGGAAACGGUAGCUAAUACCGCAUAACGUCGCAAGACCAAAGAGGGGGACCUUCGGGCCUCUUGCCAUCAGAUGUGCCCAGAUGGGAUUAGCUAGUAGGUGGGGUAAUGGCUCACCUAGGCGACGAUCCCUAGCUGGUCUGAGAGGAUGACCAGCCACACUGGAACUGAGACACGGUCCAGACUCCUACGGGAGGCAGCAGUGGGGAAUAUUGCACAAUGGGCGCAAGCCUGAUGCAGCCAUGCCGCGUGUGUGAAGAAGGCCUUCGGGUUGUAAAGCACUUUCAGCGAGGAGGAAGGUGGUGAGCUUAAUACGCUCAUCAAUUGACGUUACUCGCAGAAGAA
RNAcentral lists this ribosomal RNA (476 nucleotides) under Serratia nematodiphila. RNAcentral describes it as "bacterial SSU rRNA". It matches the Rfam family "Bacterial small subunit ribosomal RNA", at positions 24 to 489 of the family's 1533-position model. The record is from RNAcentral. Lineage: Bacteria; Pseudomonadati; Pseudomonadota; Gammaproteobacteria; Enterobacterales; Yersiniaceae.